RNAcentral lists this ribosomal RNA (503 nucleotides) under uncultured bacterium. RNAcentral describes it as "partial 16S ribosomal RNA". It matches the Rfam family "Bacterial small subunit ribosomal RNA", at positions 30 to 523 of the family's 1533-position model. The record is from RNAcentral.
AUUGAACGCUGGCGGCAGGCUUAACACAUGCAAGUCGAGCGGGGUAAUGGUGCUUGCACUAUCACUUAGCGGCGGACGGGUGAGUAAUGCUUAGGAAUCUGCCUAUUAGUGGGGGACAACAUCUCGAAAGGGAUGCUAAUACCGCAUACGUCCUACGGGAGAAAGCAGGGGAUCACUUGUGACCUUGCGCUAAUAGAUGAGCCUAAGUCGGAUUAGCUAGUUGGUGGGGUAAAGGCCUACCAAGGCGACGAUCUGUAGCGGGUCUGAGAGGAUGAGCCGCCACACUGGGACUGAGACACGGCCCAGACUCCUACGGGAGGCAGCAGUGGGGAAUAUUGGACAAUGGGGGGAACCCUGAUCCAGCCAUGCCGCGUGUGUGAAGAAGGCCUUAUGGUUGUAAAGCACUUUAAGCGAGGAGGAGGCUCUUUUGGCUAAUACCCAAGAUGAGUGGACGUUACUCGCAGAAUAAGCACCGGCUAACUCUGUGCCAGCCGCCGCCGUAA